GUGAACCAGUACCGUGAGGGAAAGGCGAAAAGAACCCCGGCGAGGGGAGUGAAAAAGAACCUGAAACCGUGUACGUACAAGCAGUGGGAGCACAGGUUUACCUGUGUGACUGCGUACCUUUUGUAUAAUGGGUCAGCGACUUAUAUUCUGUAGCAAGGUUAACCGAAUAGGGGAGCCGGAGGGAAACCGAGUCUUAAUUGGGCGUUAAGUUGCAGGGUAUAGACCCGAAACCCGGUGAUCUAGCCAUGGGCAGGUUGAAGGUUGGGUAACACUAACUGGAGGACCGAACCGACUAAUGUUGAAAAAUUAGCGGAUGACCUGUGGCUGGGGGUGAAAGGCCAAUCAAACCGGGAGAUAGCUGGUUCUCCCCGAAAGCUAUUUAGGUAGCGCCUCGUGAAUUCAUCUCCGGGGGUAGAGCACUGUUUCGGCUAGGGGGCCAUCCCGGCUUACCAACCCGAUGCAAACUGCGAAUACCGGAGAAUGUUAUCACGGGAGACACACGGCGGGUGCUAACGUCCGUCGUGAAGAGGGAAACAACCCAGACCGCCAGCUAAGGUCCCAAAGUCAUGGUUAAGUGGGAAACGAUGUGGGAAGGCCCAGACAGCCAGGAUGUUGGCUUAGAAGCAGCCAUCAUUUAAAGAAAGCGUAAUAGCUCACUGGUCGAGUCGGCCUGCGCGGAAGAUGUAACGGGGCUAAACCAUGCACCGAAGCUGCGGCAGCGA
RNAcentral lists this ribosomal RNA (722 nucleotides) under Salmonella enterica subsp. enterica serovar Agona. Its description in RNAcentral is "partial 23S ribosomal RNA". It matches the Rfam family "Bacterial large subunit ribosomal RNA", at positions 490 to 1211 of the family's 2925-position model. Lineage: Bacteria; Pseudomonadati; Pseudomonadota; Gammaproteobacteria; Enterobacterales; Enterobacteriaceae. The record is from RNAcentral.